AUGGACCUUCCUAACCAAGCUAGAAAGGAUUCCCAGGGGAUAUGUUUUCUUGGAAAGGUCAAAUUUAGAGAAUUUGUUCAAAGACAUAUAGGAGAAAUGGAGGGUAUGCUUCUUGAGGCAGAAACUGGAGAUUACCUAGGGACACACCGUGGGUUUUGGUUCUAUACGAUUGGUCAGCGACAAGGUUUGCGACUUUCUGGAGGACUUUGGUAUGUUGUGGAGAAAGAUGUGCAAAAUAAUGUGGUUUUUGUAUCAAGGAAUUACUAUUCAUUGGAUAAGAGGAGGCGGACAUUUCGUGUUGGAUCACUAAACUGGUUUAGUGAUUCUGGGCCAUCAGACAAUGAACGCCUUAAAUGCAAGGUACGGCAUAGUCCCGAUUUCCAUGAUUGCACCGUGGCAAAAGAGCAAACCGAAGAGAAGGGAGACGUUUUGGAGGUUCGUCUGUCCAAAGACGACCAGGGUUUAGCAGCUGGCCAGUUUGCAACGUUCUACCGUGACAAUGCGUGCCUGGGGUCAGACAUAAUCCUGGAUUCCUAUGACGAAAUGAGCUUCCCUGUGUCUGCAAAGGCGCUGGAAACUGCUAGGAUGGAGGAUAAGUCCAAGCUGGGGAAGCCCAUAUAA
This 621-nucleotide ribosomal RNA is filed under the name Triticum aestivum (bread wheat). RNAcentral's name for it is "partial small subunit ribosomal RNA". The record is from RNAcentral. Lineage: Eukaryota; Viridiplantae; Streptophyta; Magnoliopsida; Poales; Poaceae.